CGUGUAGGCGGUUUAUUAAGUCAGAUGUGAAAGCCCACGGCUUAACCGUGGAACUGCAUUUGAUACUGAUAGGCUUGAGUAUGAGAAGGGGUAGUGGAAUUCCCAGUGUAGCGGUGAAAUGCGUAGAUAUUGGGAAGAACACCAGUAGCGAAGGCGACUACCUGGCUCAUUACUGACGCUAAUGCGCGAAAGCGGCGGGGAGCAAACA
RNAcentral lists this ribosomal RNA (208 nucleotides) under uncultured bacterium. RNAcentral's name for it is "partial 16S ribosomal RNA". It matches the Rfam family "Bacterial small subunit ribosomal RNA", at positions 568 to 774 of the family's 1533-position model. The record is from RNAcentral.